RNAcentral lists this transfer RNA (86 nucleotides) under Chloroflexota bacterium. RNAcentral's name for it is "tRNA-Leu". It matches the Rfam family "tRNA". From Rfam's summary of the family: Transfer RNA (tRNA) molecules are approximately 80 nucleotides in length. Their secondary structure includes four short double-helical elements and three loops (D, anti-codon, and T loops). Further hydrogen bonds mediate the characteristic L-shaped molecular structure. tRNAs have two regions of fundamental functional importance: the anti-codon, which is responsible for specific mRNA codon recognition, and the 3' end, to which the tRNAs corresponding amino acid is attached (by aminoacyl-tRNA synthetases). tRNAs cope with the degeneracy of the genetic code in two manners: having more than one tRNA (with a specific anti-codon) for a particular amino acid; and 'wobble' base-pairing, i.e. permitting non-standard base-pairing at the 3rd anti-codon position. RNAcentral also lists the same sequence under 2 other names. The record is from RNAcentral. Lineage: Bacteria; Bacillati; Chloroflexota.
GCCGAAGUGGCGGAACGGUAGACGCGCUACGUUCAGGACGUAGUAUCCUUACGGGUGUGUGGGUUCGAAUCCCUCCUUCGGCACCA